This 254-nucleotide ribosomal RNA is filed under the name uncultured prokaryote. RNAcentral describes it as "partial 16S ribosomal RNA". It matches the Rfam family "Bacterial small subunit ribosomal RNA", at positions 525 to 777 of the family's 1533-position model. The record is from RNAcentral.
ACGUAGGGUCCAAGCGUUAUCCGGAAUUACUGGGCGUAAAGAGUUGCGUAGGUGGCAAAGUAAGUUGGUAGUGAAAUCCUGGGGCUCAACCCCUUCAACAUUAUCAAAACUGCUUAGCUAGAGGACGAGAGAGGUCACUGGAAUUCCUAGUGUAGGAGUGAAAUCCGUAGAUAUUAGGAGGAACACCGAUGGCGUAGGCAGGUGACUGGCUUGUUCCUGACACUAAGGCACGAAAGCGUGGGGAGCGAACGGGA